RNAcentral lists this ribosomal RNA (492 nucleotides) under uncultured bacterium. RNAcentral's name for it is "partial 16S ribosomal RNA". It matches the Rfam family "Bacterial small subunit ribosomal RNA", at positions 28 to 507 of the family's 1533-position model. The record is from RNAcentral.
GAUGAACGCUAGCUACAGGCUUAACACAUGCAAGUCGAGGGGAAACGACAUCGAAAGCUUGCUUUUGAUAGGCGUCGACCGGCGCACGGGUGAGUAACGCGUAUCCAACCUGCCCACCACUUGGGGAUAACCUUGCGAAAGUAAGACUAAUACCCGAUGAUAUCUCUAUAAGACAUCUGAAAGGGAUUAAAGAUUUAUCGGUGAUGGAUGGGGAUGCGUCUGAUUAGCUUGUUGGCGGGGUAACGGCCCACCAAGGCGACGAUCAGUAGGGGUUCUGAGAGGAAGGUCCCCCACAUUGGAACUGAGACACGGUCCAAACUCCUACGGGAGGCAGCAGUGAGGAAGAGUGGGCAAUGGGCGAGAGCCUGAACCAGCCAAGUAGCGUGCAGGAGGACGGCCCUAUGGGUGGUAAACUGCUUUUAUAAGGGAAUAAAGUGAGUCUCGGGAGACUUUUUGCAGGUACCUUAUGAAUAAGGACCGGCUAAUUCCGUG